GUAUGUUGCAUCGUCAGAAGGGGAGUCUCAGGGAUUCACACACUUGGACUUUACUUGGCUGCAUCUGCCAAACAAUCUAGUCUGCAUUUUGGUUAGCUGGAGACCAACCAGGAUUUUUCUGAUUAUAUCUUCUUCUGAAAAAAGGAUGCAUGACAUAGAAAGAAGGUCUAAGUGCCUGUCUGAGACUAUUUUACCAAACCUGGGAUAAAUGUUAUUUCUCAAAGGUAAGUGUUAUUUUCUUCUUAUGUGUUUAUAUAAAUUACGUAGCUAUAAUACAAACUAUAUAUAGAUACAC
This 295-nucleotide long non-coding RNA is filed under the name Anser brachyrhynchus (Pink-footed goose). RNAcentral's name for it is "lncRNA (ENSABRG00000020404.1)". Lineage: Eukaryota; Metazoa; Chordata; Aves; Anseriformes; Anatidae. The record is from RNAcentral.